AUGCCAUUUUUUGAUCAAAGAACACUGAAGGUAAAUGCCCUCAGUGCUAUCAUUCUUGCCGUUGCUGAAAAAAUGCUGGAAGAAGACUUUGUGUGUUCUUGCAAUGAGGAUUACAGAAAUGUUGAAGUCUUUUUACAUUUUUUGAUUCCUAUUCUUUUCUGCUUGGUUGUGCUUCUUCAACUGUUAGCUGAAUAUGAGCAACAAAGCUACAUGGUGAUCAAGACCUUCUUAUUUUCAGCUUUUCUGUGGAUUGUAUUACUUCUUAUUGAUGGUAGAUAUGUUGCAUGUGCCGUAUUUUCACCACAUGCUCCAUGUAACAACACAAUAGAUGUGAAAGAACUUCAAUCCACUUCAGAAUUUUUUCUAUCUAAGCUUGUAGGUUUUUUGCUGUUAUAUUCUGUGCUGCUACUAGCCUUCCUUGUAACAGCUGUUGGACACGUGAAAAAAUGGUGCAACCAGAGGAACAAUGCAAAUACAGCAUUAUACAACAGUAUAAAUCCUGAAAGCACGGGGCAACAGGAAUAAUCCAGAGUAUGGACAGUACCUGAACAAAACAACCAGAAAACCCCGAUUGAAAAAGGCUGUUAAAACCAGAUCAGUUACAGUGUAUGAAAAGUGUUACCUGUAAUAUAGCCUACAGAGAGUAAAAUUAAACACCAUUGAUUUUCAUUGCUUAUGUAUUUGUUGUACUCUAAAAUGAUUUCUUAUAAUUUCAUCAUAAACAGCUGUAUGAAUACAUUGAUGUUGUCUUAAAUUUAUGCAAAUUCAAUUAUACUAUGUGACCAUAUAUUAGAACGGAAACCAUGUUGUAAAUGCUGGGCUGACAUUUUAAGGCAAAUUUUUGUUUCACUUUUUUGCGAUUUAAUUAUUAUUUAUUUUUUUUAUUUUUUUGUAGAAUCAAUUUUAGAAUCUAACAGCUGUCUAACAGUUACCUAACUGCUUUUCUGAUUUCAAAUUCUGCAUCUGUAAAAACAAUAAAACUACUGACUGCUGAUAAAUAAUCUGGUUA
This is a long non-coding RNA of Cyprinus carpio (common carp), 1009 nucleotides long. Lineage: Eukaryota; Metazoa; Chordata; Actinopteri; Cypriniformes; Cyprinidae. The record is from Ensembl.